This 19412-nucleotide long non-coding RNA is filed under the name Trifolium pratense (red clover). Its description in RNAcentral is "long non-coding RNA (TPRA_LNC012075)". The record is from RNAcentral. Lineage: Eukaryota; Viridiplantae; Streptophyta; Magnoliopsida; Fabales; Fabaceae.
UUAAUCUAAGUGGUUUUAAUAUUAUGGAUUUAGAUUUAGAUUACUGUACAUUUGACAAGCUACACAAUCUAAACGUGACAUUAAUUUCACACGAUUUGUGUUUCAAGUAACUUUUGUAUAUUUUAGAUCUAUCUUUACUUUCUACUUAAUUGCAUGAACGCAGAACAUUAGAAUUGUGAGUGUUUGUCACACCUAUUUGGCAUUUAUGAAAAGGGUACUAAUUUUGGACCAAACAGGAAGCAUGAUACCUUUGUUUGUAGGGAAAAGCACUUUAAUAUAUGUCAAUACUUUUUCCAACAAUGAACUUGGCUGAAUCAUUUACAGUACUAUUUCCAAUUAUGAAUUGCAUUUGUUUCAUGAACUAAGGCUUGAUAUCUUGCACAUUAAUUGUUUCAUGAUCAAUCAACUUCAUACACACACUACUUUCAUUGCCAUAAAUUUUUUGUGAAAUUUCUUUAAAGCAUAGUACAUUAGUACUUUAUAUGAACAAAGACACUAAAAGGCAUACAUAAAACUUUGUUGCAUCAUUUGUGAUCUGGAUUAUACCUGAUCGAAUGACAACUGCGUCUUCUCCUGUGUUGAAAGUCAAUUAUAUGUAUGUAAUUAAUAUUAUUAUUAUUAUUAUUAUUGUGUCAUCAAGCUAAGUAGGAAUAUUCUAAAUUAGGAUAUAACUAUGUAUAUAGAGAAAGUUAAGGCCUAGGGAGAUCACAGAAUUAUCUCCACUUAAUUUCUGUCAUGAUUAGCAUAAUCUUUUUCCUGUUUUAGAGUCCUAGUUCAGUCUAUAAAUUGGUGUAAUGUACAGAGAAAAUAAUCAAGCAAAUACAUUUCAUUCUAUUGUGUUUCUUCUUAUAUCCUGAUUCUAGCUUGAACAACAAUUCAGGACCUUGCAAUUUUUGCAAAGAAAAUUGCAUUGCCAGAAACAUUGACUGGUCAAUAUUUUUAUUUACACUCUGUUCAAGGAUAAUAACUAAAGAUGGUAGCCAACUCAUACUUGUCAACUGUUCACAAAUCAAAAGCAAGAAACUCACAUCACAUCUAUGCGACUAUGCGCAAUAAGGCCUCUCUAGUUGCACUUUGUACAUCACCAUUUGCAUUACGGCACAAAAACACAAGCUCACGAAAUAAAUGCUCUUGACAUAUAAGAAAGUAGCUCUAUGCAAAGACAAAGUGUUCUUCAUGCGGGUGCUUCAUAGCAUCAAAUAAGUUGAAGUGAAUAACACGCUUCCCAAACUCGAUAGAAAGUGUCCCUGCAUAAACAUCAAUUUUAGCUCUGGUGUGUUAAUAAGUCAUACAUCAGUUGUGAUAUGGUAUGACUAAGUGUUUAUAAAUUAGAGGCAAUCCUCACCUUACAAGCCGGUUUUGUAAGGAUGAGUUAGGCCCAAUAUUCAUUUCUAAGAUGAUAUCAGAGUCUAUCCAUGAUUCGUUUGGCCACUUCGUUGGGUCGCCUGCAAUCAGGUUUCUGAUCGGGCCCUCCGCCUUUCAUAUCCGCGCCUCAAGCCCUAUGCUCCUGAGACCGUUUGAUCCAUCUCGACGGUUCUCAUCCUCCCCAAGGCCAGCUAUUGUCAGUUGACAUAGACAGUUAUAACCAUCUUCCCCUAUAUAAAGGCAAGUUUUUGUGCCAAGGUACACAAUCCAAUCACUUUCACAUCACUCUCUGGAUCACAUAUUGACUUGAGCGUUGGAGUGUUAAUGUGUUUUGCAGGUACUUCCCCGCCGUGAUUCACCAUACGUGAACUCCAUUUCCACCGUAACUGUCUCAAGCCUCGCCAUCAGAAUCAUCUAGUUCUAAUCAUAUCGAAUCACAUUCAUAUUCCAUAAAGACAUGUGUGUUCAAGUAGAAGUUUUGUCAUCAAUGUGAGAACAUCGGUAAGAUAAUAUGCAAGUAUAUAUGUUGAUACUCUAAUUACUCUCUGAGCCUUGAGAGUUGAGAGUUUUCUAACUCUGAUCUGAUUAACAUCUUGAGACCAAACUCAUCUAAACAUUUUUUUAUUAACAAAAAGAAACUUGAAAUUCUUAAAAUAGAAAAGAAACUAGAGUUUGUUUUUACAAUGCCAUGCAAAUUAAGUAUCCUGAUACCAAGUCCACUUAAUGAAACUUAUUAACAAAAGGGACUCUAGAAAACUCAAAACAGACAUAGCACUUGAAGUUGAUUUACAAAUUACAUAUGCAGCACAUAUAACAGAAUCCUCUCUUAAAUUUCUUAAGCAACACUGAAAGAAUUUGCUGUACUCUCCACAAAUCUUCUUGCUCCUUUAAACCACCUCUUGUCUCCAGCUUGAGCUUUGCAAAUGUAUAACUUUCCAUCUUUCACAGUUGCUCUAAUUAUUUGAUGCUUGCCACCUUCAUCUCCAUCAGCAGUUCUUGUCAACACAGACAAAACAUAGUACUUUUUCCCAUCAAUCUCAGGUGUUGAACUUUCCAGGAUGUUUGCUGUGGCAACAGCGUUCGGAUCGAAACCACCCUGAGGAUUUGAAGUUCAUACUCAUUUAGAAUUAUAAGAAAUGAUUUUAGGUGUAUUUGUGUUUAGUUGUUGGUUGCUUACCUCGGCUUGCGUUUCGCCGAAGAAGGCCUGCUUUCCUAGUAAAUAAUUCACCUGCAAAGUGGAAAAAUCAAGUUUUGAUCUUGAGUUUCAACCACCAAGUAGCAACUAUUGUCAUUGUCUUAAAAAAUUCACAUAGACAUUAUUCUUUAUGAAUGGUAGGAACUUGGUAAGUACAAAUUUAAGAUAAGUGUAUUUUUGGUAUCACGGUGGAUAUUUCAUAAUCACGGUGACCCACGUGAUUCUGAUACAUCCACUGUGAUACACCGAUACCAAACAUAGACUUAAAAAAAACCACUCUAGUUUCGUAGUACUAGUUUACCUGAGAAAGAAAUUCCUCAGGUGAACCAUAGUCAGUGAUGGACUUCUUAUCAGUUGGAGUCACAGUGACAACGACAUUGCUAGUCGAAUCGAAGUUGUCUUCAUAUCUAACAACUUGACCUGUGUAUUCAACCUCUUUGCUAGGGUUCCACUUUGAGGGAACUGAUAAUUUGAAUCCAUCUCCAUUGUAUGGUAGGAAGUCUGUGUUUGUCUUUGGUUUUCCAAACACAUUGGCUGCAAGCAAAACAAUCCUUUUGCUUAUAAGCAAAAAAGAAAGGUUAUAAAUGUUUGUUGGUCUAAUACAAGAUAUAAGCAAAUUCUUACUAUCUUCACCCUAUUUAGGCCUUGUUUGGAUAAACAACUUAAUUUGCAUAAACAACUUAAUUGUAGCUUAUACAUAGCCUUAUUUAUCAUGAUAAGUACUUAUGUAUAAGUUCUUUCAAUACAAAAGAUAAAAUAAGUUAAAUUGUUUUCGUAUAAUCUAUAAAUUGUUUUCAUAUACUAUGUUGGAGAGCUUAUGAAAAUAAGUUGAAAUCAACUUAUGAACAUAAGUUCUCCUAAAUAGUCACACACGUGUUUAUGCCAGUAGAUAACUCAAAAAAGUCGAUCCAUAAAACUCUUAAUGUUAUCGUUCUCAAUCUAUCCUUCAAUUUACUGAUAUUUAAGUCAUGAUCAGGGAGUAUAUGGUUUCCUAAAGCAUUAAACUAUAAGUGAUCUUUCCAAUAUAAAAGUUAUACGGUUAGAGUUGGAGUAUUUUGUUUUUAAGCAAGAGUUCGGCAGGUAGGUAAUACAGAGUUCGGCCGCGACUCUAACUCUUUAUUAACCCUAAAGCAUUAAACUAACAAAAUACCCCAACUCUAUAACAUAUAUACCACUCUAACUCUUUAUUAACCCUCUCAGAGGAAUGUAAUAAAGAGUUCGGCUACGAGGUAAGUAAAGUCUGGCCAAAAGUGAUUUCCACAAGGAACUGAACUGGGAUUCUCCCGAACAAUUCAUCCUAAAGAGAGCUCAUUAACUACCUUUUUUUUUUAAUCAAAGUUCAUUAACUACUUAAACUCAACUUAUUGGUUUACCAUAAAGAAUACAAUUUGAUUAUGAGAAAGAAAGAAAGUAAAAUACCAGAUUGACCAUAGGCUGCAUGAGCAGGUGAGACCUUAGAACCAACAGCAGCAGUACCAAUAAGAACAGUUAGAGCUAACCGACGAGAGACUAUGCUGCUGCUGCAAUGAUCAUCCUCUUGAUCAAUUGCAUGCUUCUGAUUCUGAGCCUUGCAAACAAGAAACUGGUUUGGCUUAUGGCGUUGUGAUGAGAAUUUGGUAUUUGUAGUAAGUGCAGGGUGAGACAAGAAACAUUGAAUAGAAGAAGCCAUUGAAUUUGUGUAGCUAUAGCUUAACUAUCACACUCUCUUUGUUUGUUCUGUUGAUCAAAAGUUUGGUGAUUAAUUUAAGACAACGUUGUGAAGUUGGAAUUUAGUGUAGAAUGUUCGAGUAUUUUCUGUACUGUUGUGUGACAAUGACAAUGAGAUUGUGGUUGGUUGGUUUUGGAUUUUGUGUUACAAGUGGAUGCAUGGUUGGUUGGAUAAGGUAGUAAUGGCUCUCAUUGGUGCCAUGUCAUAUUGUCAUGCCAUGCAUAUGUAUUUCUAUGUCAUUUUCUUCAUGUCAAAAAAUAGUGCAGUCAUGCACUCGUCGAGUUUUAGGUUAUUCAAUUUUGAUCGGACAACUUAUAUUUUAUUUCAAAAUUCUAUAUUAAACAAAAAUAAAAAUUGUCAUAAAAUCUGAAUUAUUUGAUUUUGAUAGGAAUAUUAUGAAUUGCUGACUACAUCGGUUGCUUGCAGACCCGACCGCACUUAAUCCAAUUUCGUUUGAAAUACUUGAAGUUGAAGAGGAUAUUGUCAUCUCCCGAUUUACUUGGUUUAUGCGAUAUAUUUCAUGCAUGUGUUUGGAUCAGCGGUGAGACUUAAGAGUGACAAAUGGGCAAAUUUAAUGUUGGAAAAACUGCACUUUAUAAUUUCAUAAAAUCAUUGUGGUUCACCGUGACUUUUCAAUAUCACCGCUUAUUUAAACAUGCAUAAAGUUUAGUUUGUGUUUCUUUAUAUAGUGAUGCUAAGGUAUAUAUAUUUAAUUUGUAAAAGAUAAGUACACGACACAUAGAACAAUACAUGACAAACUUUUAAGGUUUUGAAUAAAUUUAUAUCAUCUUUUACUAUAUUUAAUGAACAAAAAAUUAUUUUAAUAUUUUAGAUAAUUUGUAUUUGAAACAAAAAGUAGUUAUAUAAUUUAUUUAUUUUUGAUUGAUAGACGAAAUGGCAAAAUCAUUGAAAACUCACACACACAAAAUUGUUAUAUAAUUUACUAAAUGUCAAUAAUGUCAAUCUCAUAUUAGAAGAAAUACACUCUUAUGUUAGUAGAAAAUUCCCUUUCAUCUCUCUAAAAAACUCUCCUAUCUAUUUCCAAACAAAGUUUUAGUCAUCUUAAGAAUUUGAAAAUGGAUACAUUAAUCCCACCACCUACCUCUAUCCAUAAAUGAUCCUUUAAUUGCUUAAAGGAUAACAAGAGAGUGAGAAGAAGAAGAAGAAAUGACCAAUUUUGGGAGAAAGAGACUCUACAAUUAGAUUUAAAAAUUCAAAAUAUUCUUUAUAAUUUAAUUUCGAGUAUAAACAUUUUUUUUAAUUAUUCAAUUACUAAAUAAAAUGUCCCACUAGACACAUACAGGGUGAGGAUUGUCUCUCGUGACAAUCCCACUUGAUAUGGUUCAGUAUUGAUCCAAAUCUUUCGUUCUUUUUUUUUUUUUAUGAUUGUACUAUGUGAAAACAAAAAAAUUUGAAUGGUCAAGAUUUCAAUGGAGAAAUAUUUUACGGAAGAGAAUCCCUACAGACCUACACAUACCAACACCAACUUAAAAAGUAAACGCAUUUAAGAAUAAAUAUUCAUUUGUAGAUAGAGAGAUAAAAAAAAAAUUAUCUAUAAGGUCUAGUUUAAUCACAUUAUCAAUAUUGUUAAAUUGAGUAUUUUCAAUUAGAUUCAAUUUCAAAACUUCACAAUCUCGUAUGUGAAUUUAUGAUAGUAUUUGUCAUUUAUCAUCUACAAAAGAAAAAUUAAUGUUAUUGAUAAAUUAUAACUUAACCGAUAAAAAUGACGAAAUUAUUAGAUCGAAUACUAUGAUCGAAGUUCGAAUUUUAAUUUUUCACUUUAUUAUGUGUGAAUUUUCAAUAGUUUUGAUUUUAUUUAUCUAAAAAAUAUGUCACGUUUUAAAAUUUUAGACUAAAAGUUGAGUUUUUUUUAAAGCAAAAGUUGAGUUCUUUUCUAUGGGCCCAAAAUGGAAUAUUUCCAACUUUAUUUAAUUUAAUUUCCUAAAAUAUAUACAUUAUUGCCUACUCUGCCACACCACACCCAUUUUCUCUUAAAUUAAUUAUCUUUGCUUCACUGUGUUCACAUCACUUCAUUCAGUUCAGUGCUCUUUAGCCUCAAUUUCUCUCUGCUCAUUCUGGUUUGAUCCACAAUCCCAUUCAUUUUCAUCUCUUUCAUUUCACUUUCUUUCAGCUUUUUUCAUCUAUUCAUGCUUCUUACAUGUUUGUUCUAUUGUCUCAUUUACUUCAUCUCUUCAAUUAUUUUUGUGAUUUGUUGUUUUCUACACUGUGAGUUAUUCAAUUAGCUGAAAAACUGUUCAUUUAGGUUUUUGCAUGUGUUUGUUGGAAGGAAAUUGAAUUUGACUUUGAAUUUCAUUGAUCUAUGCUAUUAUAUGUCAAAUGCAUUUCCUUUAAGCCUCUGAAUUGUAAAAGAUAAGAGAUAAAUUGAAAAGAAAAAUUUGGGGUUGCCCCUUUUGCUUUUCUGCUUUCAAAGUUUCAAUUUUUUUUUUUUAAAAAUGUUUUUUUUUUCUUUCUUUCUUUUUCUAGUAAUUAUUGAUCCUGGUUUGUCAAGUUUGCUUUGAGACUAAAGAUAAUUUUUUUUAACCAAGACAUUGGACUUAAGUGGUUAAUGAGUUCUCCCUAGGAUGAAUGGUUCGGGGUAACCCGAGUUCGAUUCCUGGUGGAAACAAUUCGUGGUCAGGCUUUAAUUACCUCCCGGCCUACCAUAAAAAAAAAACAUUUUUUUAUUGGUGGUAGUAUUUUUUUUAAUACUUUUUCACUUUUAGGUGUUUUGUGAUGUUUUGCACAAAUGAAAAGCAAAUGGGAACAUGGUUUAACUCACGUAUGUGUCGCUGAUCCUUGAUAUUGCAGAAAAUUGGGGUCAAAUAUGGUUACUGCAACCUCAAUGUGGUUGGAGAGAUAUAAAAAAUUUGAUAUGUUGCCACUACAAUUGUGGUUGCAGAUCGUUUUUUAAAACCUUGAGUGGGAAUACUGUCUUGAGCUUUUGGCUCGGGACAAGUUUUUGGAGUUCAAUUUUCUUGUUAUUGGUUGUGGUUUGUGCUUUGAAAAUGGAUAACACAUAACAUAGUAAGGUUAUUAUAUCGAUUAACCAUGUAAAUUUGAUCAAGUUUCUGCACAGUCUAGUCAAUUGCAGGAUUCAUGAAGACUAGCAUGUGGUGUGUGUGUGACUGUGUGUUGACUUGAUCCUAAUGGACUUAUCUUUUCCUAAAGAUCGAUUGUUAAUGUUUACUUUUACUAUCGAGUUUUCAUUUGAACUUUGAAGACUUUUUUGUGAAGCAAAUUACAAAAGUCACAGGUUUUCAUGUUUAAGUUUGAUAUCUUUUUUGUUUGAGUAAGUUUGUUUGUAACGAAUGAAUGCCUUAUAGGCUUUUGUGGAAGGGAUCAUUGAGAAAUAUACUAUUAUGUAAUUCAAAAUGUAUUUGUGAAUGUUGACUUUAUAGUUAACUAUACAAUCUUCUCUAAUGUCAUGAUUUUGGGGGAAAAUGCUUGAAUCCCUUACAUCUCUUACAUUCGCUUUAUGUUUGUUGAUUUCUCCAUAUAUGGUGAUUGUCGUUGCAAUGGUGUUAGGCAUGAUAGCCAUUACAUACAACAUUUAUGACGUUCUUUUUAUCGUUAGAUUUUCAGGAACAAUGUCUGAGAAAACUACAGCCGAAAAGCUUCUAAACACCCUCGUGGAAACACUAGAGAAGCAAAAAUCUGGAUCAUUCUUUGAGAAGCAAAACUCUGGGUCAUUCUUUGAGAAGCAAAAAUCUGGAUCAUUCUUUGAGAAGCAAAACUCUGGAUCAUUCUUUGAAGAUGUGACGGCAAACUCAAUGACCUCCCAGUUCAAUAAAUUGUUUGGACGCGAGAAACCUGUGCACCAUAUUUUAGGCGGUGGAAAAUGUAUGACAAUGGCAAUUCUAGUGAAUUUCCUGUAAAAUCUUUCAUAUUGGCUUCAGCUUUUAAAUCUGUUUUCUUUUUUACCCUUUGAAUGUUAUAGCUGCUGAUGUCUUGUUAUGGAGGAACAAGAAGAUCUCUGCUAGCGUUUUAACCGCUGCAACAGCUAUUUGGGUGCUUUUUGAAUGGCUUAAUUAUAAUUUCCUAUCUCUUCUAUUCCUUGCCCUGGUUCUUGUCUUGUCUGUACAGUUUCUUUGGACAAAUGCUUCCACCAUGUUUAGCAGGUUGUCGAAGCAUCCUUGAAUUUCUUCCUGUGUUGCCUUAUUCUUAUAUAAUACUUUACAGAUUUUAUAAUACUUUCUCUUUUUUCUGUGGUGACAGGAAGCCAUCUAAAGCUCCUCGUUUGGUUCUCCCAGAAGAUUUAUUUGUAAAUAUCGCAACUGCGGUUGGUACUGAGGUUAACCGUGGUUUAAGGGUUCUUCAAAAUGUUUCAUGUGGAGGAAACUUGAAGCAAUUUGUUCUUGUAUGUUUACUCUUAUGUUUUCUUGCCUUUGUAUUUUCAUUGAUAAUCCAUAUUCAUGCUUAAAAACAUCUAUCUCCGUCCCAAUAUAGGACUCUCUUGAGAUUUUUCACUAUCACUUUUUAUAGGCCCCUUUCAAAUUUUCAACUGUAUUAAUUAUUUCUUUACCAACAUUCCCCUAAUUAUGUUGUAUCUUUUUCUGCAACUUGUAAUAAAUAUUAUCAUAAAAGCAUAAAGGAAAAACAAUAUCAUGUGAUUUAGUCAACGAGGUCUUAUAUUUAGGGAUGGAGGUAGUAGUUUUUAAGUUGAAAAUCAAAAACAUUGAUUGAAUUUGUGAUAAUGCUUAAAACAUCUGUAGGCUGUAGUAGGCUUAUGGGCUGGUGCUGUGCUUGGGAGCUGGUGCAAUUUCUUGACUGUCAUGUAUAUCGGUAAGAGAUCUUCCUCCUUCUCUGUCGAUAGAAUGUGUUGGCCAUAAUAUUUCCAAGUUAUUAAGUUAGGUCACGUUUGCAAAGCAUAUUUUAAAUUUCAAUUAUCCUACAAAUCUUAUCGUUAAAUAAUUAAAUAGUUGAAACUGUAAAAAUAGUAUUUUAUAUAAGUUAUCUUGAUUCCAAUUGCAUAGUAUGAAAAAUUAAAGAAAAACUGAACAAAGAGAGAAGAGAGCAUGGAGAAUGUUUCUAAACUGUGAAAUUAACAAUCCAAUUCACAUAGUUUACUAAAUUAUACAUGUGUUUGUGUGUGGUCAUGUGGAUAGUAUAACAUAAAUAACACACACAUUUUUAAGUGUUUCAUGGUAAUAGAUCAUAUGAAGAACCAAAUCUUGUAAUCAAUACGUUAGUCAAUGUUGAUGUAUAUUAUACUGUGAGAAUGGAUGAUAUUAAGAAGUUCAACGGCGAUGUUUUCUAGUCAAUGUUAUUUUGGUCAUACUUGAAUUUGAUUGCUAUAAUUUUGUGUUAUGUCCUAAGGUUUUGUUGCUGCACAUACUCUCCCGGUUCUCUACGAAAAGUAUGACGAUCAGAUUGAUAACUUCGUGUACAAGGUAAUUGAUCAGAUGCAAACUCAGUAUAAGAAGGUGGAUUCUGGUUUGCUUAGCAAAAUCCCCAAGGGAAAUAUCAAAGAAAAGAAGGUUGAAUAGGUUCAUGUUUAUGUAGAUGGUUUGAUUUUUAAUAUCCAUUUCUCACUUGUGAUGAAAUUGGGACACAACUGAAUUUGUUGCUUCUACUUUGACUCUAAUAUUUUCUAUGUUGGAGUCUUCAAAAUUUGUGCUAUGUUCAUUAUUGACUCAUUGGUGGAAAGUAGAAACCACAAUAAUUUCCUUAAACUCCAUCAUGUUUUUAGAUUAUAGUGGUUGGCAUAAUAUUUUAAGGGUCAUGUUAAACGGUGCACCCGGUGCACUUGUUAAGCAUACCUAAAAUAGAAAUAAAACAUAAAGGAUAAUCUCAUAUUUUUCUUAAAAAUGUUUUUUUGACAGUUGCUUUCAUAUCAUGUCCCACAUGUUUGGGUCAUCCACCAUAUCUUGUGGUCUGAAACAAACUAUGAUGCGAGGACCGCUACUUCUGCCCCCCAUCCCCCACCUCUCUCACACACCCACUUUCCCUUUGAAUUUUUUAAAAAUACCUUGUUCGGAUUCUAGAAUCCAAAAUUAUGUUUAGAUUCUAGAAUCUAAACCUAUGUUUAUUGAGACAAUUCAAUUUUCUUAGGUUGUUUACGUUGUUUUAGAUAUGAAUGCACUUCGUGAUUCUCCCGUUGAUGAGAAGUUAGAAAUUGUCAAAUUGCACUUAAAGUUGUGGAUUUUUCCCAUUGGUGCGAAUUCAGACAUUGUAGAACUUUAGCUCUCUUUGCAUGAGCGAACUGAUCCACAAUUUUAGAUGCAAUUUUUGGCUCUGCAACAACAGAAGAAUCAUGAUGAGCAUCUAUAUCUUGAAACAACGUAAACAACUUAAUUUCGGUCUUUCUUUAUUUUGCUCUUUCAACAUUGACAAAAUAUUUCUAUGCGGGGCCAAAUUCCUUGUCAUCUCAGUAACAAACUCUUUCUCUUUCGGCUUUAAACUUCCGGCAAUAAUAUGACAUUCUAACCAUUUGUCCAACUUAUGAUUGUGUAAGCCACACAACCGUAAGAUUCCAUUAUUGUGAUGCCAGAAAAUAACCUUGAAGUCUAAAUGGACAUUCACAUGUUCUUGUUUUGGUCUUUUCAGAUUUUGACUUCUUGUUGGUUGGUUUGUAUGCGCCACCCCUCUUACAACCCAACACAAAAUAUUGUUUCUUCUAAACGAACCGUAGUCGGGUUUAUCAAUAUUCGGUUUCAAUUCAUCGGGAGGUUUUCAUUUAUCAACCAUAACUACAAAUAAAUGACAAAACAUAUAAACAUCAACACAUAUCACAUAAUGCAUGUCAAAGAUACAAAACUUGCGGAAAAUUGCAGGUCUGGGCAAAGUUCAGAAUCUGUUUUCCGAACCAAAUCAGUUUCCAAUGCAAAAAUAUUAUAACAUCAAGGAAUGCACAAAGGAAUCAGUAGAAAACUAAGAUUAUCUUUAUGUUUGAGUCUAAAUGAGUGUGGAAACCACUUGACAAUGCUCCAAUGUCGGUUUUAGACCCCAAAUCCAAUAAAAAACGAAAACUUUUUUGAGAGAAAUUUAGAUUAAGUAUAGAUGAAGUGGAAUACAUUGGGUAAUAUCUGGUGUGUAUAAAGGACCAGUUCGAAAAAUAGAAUAUGAACCUAAGCGAACAGAAAAUGGAUUCCGAACUAGAAAAUGGUUGAGAACGUAGUUUAUGAACUAAGCUCCUAUGGGCAAAAACGAAAUUUCAGGGGGUCUGGGAGAAAGAUGGGGGGGGGGGGAUNNNNNNNNNNNNNNGGGAUUAUAAUUCACACAUUAAAGUUUCGAGUUCGAAUCCGAGUAAAAACGUCUAACCUAAUAAUAUUAUCAUUUUCAGUUGAAUUGAGAUUUACCGCCAAAACAUAAUGUUAUUCUAUUGUAUAAAAAGAGAGAUAGUUUAUUUGUUUGGCUACAAAGAAAGAUAAGUUAUUUUAUUAGGUAGGAUUAUAUGCACCAAAGUUUCAUAUACUACCUAUUAAAAUUUUGAAAAGUCAGAAGGGAAAUGAAAGUUCUGAAACAAGCACAUGCAUUACACAGUUGCAACCCUUUUCCUCUACACAAGAGGUCACAUUUGGCCAAAAAACUAAACCUAUCUUAACCCUUUGGCCUUUUGCAUUAACAUUCACCUUUUGAGAACUUAUUUGGUAUAUAUAUCAUUAUCCAUGUCAUCUAAAAUGUGCAUGUGACAAUAAAACUCAGGCGUGUGUGUAACCUCUUAAUACCACAUGUUGAAUGUGGUAUGCAACAAGAAGCCAUGAGUUUUGCUCAAGUUAUGGGCCAUAUUUGUCCAUCAUGUCAAAUUGUAUGGAGAGAAACCUAAACACCUCAGCCAUUGCCUCCUUUGCACUCUUAAAGAAUGUUUUAGUUUUAACAAGAAAACAAAACCAAAAUUUAAGUGCCUUAAUUGUGGUAGAGAAAGCAAAUAAAGCAAACAUAGCUUUCUAACAAUCUUGAAUAUAUUUAAAUUGUCCCAUUUAUGGUAUGAGAUUAUGAAUUACACGUUUUACUCAAAUGUUGCUUUUAGAAAUUUGAUUAAAACAAUAAAACAUGAUUGAAUGUAUGUAUUUUUUUUUAUAGUAUAUAUUAUAUAAGUGUUGGAGUAGAUGUCAUCUUAAAUUGUUUUGUCUAUAGUUCAGUAGUAAGAAUUUAAAUUUGUAAUUUCAAGAAUUUAGUUUAGUGGUAGAAAUGUAGGUUUUAAAUUCGGAGGUUCUGAGUUCAAGUCUUGUUAGUGCUCUUGAAAGAAGAUAAUAUAAUUAUCUUUAUAAGUGUUUUAAGAGCUCUAAGCUAAUUUGUUGGAGUUUAAAAUUGUACAAUCUUAUCUUCAUCGGACAAUUGAAAUUAGACAACUGUGCAAUUACAUAAUUUCGUAGACUGCAUAGAAUACGAGUUCAUUACCAAUCGUUAAUUGAUCUAACGGUGAUUGACGCUGGACUUGGUAGGGAGGACCACAGUGCGAUCCCCGCAAUUGUGAUCGGGAGGAGACUAGAACCAUUUGAUGUCAGAACUGACCUCCAAACCAGAUUAGACGUUCCAAUGAACCGGAUAAUGAUGGUGUAAACCAAAAAAUAAAACAAGAAAAAAGAAAGGGAAAAAAACGAAUACGGGUCCAUUUUUUACUGCAGUAAAUUUGAGUAAAACUUUAAGUGUAUAAAUAAGGUGGUUUUGAAGACUCAUUACCUCAUCUUGAGUCCAACACAUUUACUUCACAUUAAAACCAAGGACACUCUAUUCUCUAUAACAUUUUUGUGCUACAAUGGUUGUCUCAACUUCCAUGGAAUCUAGUCUUCCCAUGUUUCUCAUGGGAAAUCACUUGGCUGCAACUGAAUUCCUUAGCUUUUGCAACCAAAGUAAGCGUGAAGGCGAUGACGAUGAUGGCGACAUCGAUAUAGCGCCGGCAGCAUAGUUGAUUUGGCACCACAUGUAGCAAGGUUAUGAGGAAGCACACAUGAGGUGAGAAAUGAAGAGUUAUAGCUAGCACUUGUGUUUGUGUUGUGCUGCAUUUGUAGAGAAUAAGAGAUGGUGUAUUUAUUUAUAUAGUAGUAAGUAAUUAAUCUAUCUGUGUAAGCUUCUAUUAAUCUAUUAUGUUUGUUUUCACUGAAAUUUAUAUUACAACAAUAUAUAGUAGUAGUUGUGUUCUGGUUUAUUUUAUGGCAUAAUCUAUUAUAUUGUGUUCUGUUUCCAUUAAGUUUUGAUAUUUAACAUUACACCUCAUCAUCAACCUAAGAUGUCAUAUAUAGUCCUCAUAAUAUAUAUUUUUUGGUACAUAACUCAUAAUAUUUUUUUUUUAAUCUUUUGCACUCUGCAGUAAGUUACAAAUUCAUUGAACAAUUUGCUAGUAUAUUGUUUUCUUUCCCCUAAUUCUCAAACAAAGAGGGCUAUAAAUGUAUAUUGAACCAUUUUGCAGAGCUGAAAUUAAAUUUUCCUAUUGAUAGUUUGAUAUUUGUCAGUUUUUAAUGGCUAUUGUCAUUUUUGUCAAUCUAAAAAAAUUAAAAUACUCAAGUGAUUAGUAAUGGAAAGAAUAAUACCAUUAUCCAAAUUAAGCAAGGUAUUGACAAUGAGACAACUGCAGCUUUCUAAUUAAGUUACCAAACGACUUAGAGAAAAAAAAAAAUUGAACAACAGACUUAGAGAAAUUUACAUGAUUUGGACGAUACAUCGAUGGACACAAUAUAUUGGACAUAAAAUUUGGACACACAUAAAAAUAUUUACUUUAAUUAUUUAAAAAUAUAUAUAUUAUUAAAUUACUUUUUCGCUUUUGUGAGAGUGUCCAAAAUUUGUGACCACACAAGAAUUUUUCAAUAUGUAACGUGUUAAAGAAUAUAGAUAGUUAGUUAGAACUUCUAUUAGUUAGUUAGAAUCUCCACUAGUUUGUUAAGUUGGUUAUUAGUUGGUUAGUUGGUUAAUCCUCAAAUUGCUCUAUACAAAAGCCUCUAUUGUACUAUUUUCACUAUUUUUUAUCAAAUAUGAAUCCUUAUAUAUAAUUUUUAUUAUUUAAAGAUUUUCUAAAUUUUUCUCUAUUUUCCCCGAACCAUGCAAAUCUUAAAAUAACGAAAGAGGUGAACUUGUCUGGACAAAAACCUUAUACAAGCAACAACUCCUAUCACAAAAAAAAAACUGAAGCAAGGGGGACUUAUGAAAUCUAUAAUUCAAUUACAAGAAGAAUGUCAAGUUGCCAAUAAGUUACCAUCAAACUAUAUUAUAAAACAGUGAUAAAUGGCAUCAAUUGACACUUAAAUCCAAUGCUAUUGAAUUUGGCUCUAUCUUAUGUUAUUCUAAUGCUUUUGUGAAUAAUGGUAAGCAAAGUUAUGGAGUUAGUUUUAUUAGGAGAUAAACAAAUGUUGUUGUCCAUAUUCUUACGAGAUUAUGAGAGUAUCAAAGUUUUAUGCGAGAUCUCGUAUUUUUUAUUUUAUUCCAACGUGUAUUACAAAUAUUUUGUUAGACGAAAAGGAAUAAGUUUGUUCCUUUAAAAAUCUUCAUCAUUAGGGGCAAAAUUAGGAAGAGGAUGGGCUUCAUGUGUACACCAAAGGUGAAGAGCUUCUUUUGUAGCUCCCUCGCCUCUAUACUUUUCAUGCGCUCUUUUAGUUUUCUAUUUUACUCUUCAGUUACUUAAGUAGUGGGCGUUAUAAAUUGAUAAAUUUGAGAAGAAAAAAAAAACAUACCCCUUAACAUAAAUUUUUAAGUUUUACACCGGCCGCUACUUAGUAGUAGACUGAAAGUAGCGAAUUUAAUUUGCUAUUUAAAUAGUGAAAUGAGUAUUUUCAUAUUUCCAUAAGGCACUCAAGAAAAAUCAGGAACGGCAAAAUAAGCUAUCCCAAAAGGAUGUUUUCUCUCCCCACCCCCCCUAAUCUUUUAUCCCUCCUGAAUUUCCAAUUUUACCCUUGAAAAAACUUCGGUUUGUAGAAACCGAAAUUUUUUUUUGCCUUGAAAACAAAUUUCGGUUUCUAAAAACCGAAAUUUACUCUGAAUUUGCACUAGUAAAAAUUCGGUUUCUGCGAACCGAAUUUUUCUGCAAGGGCAAAAUUGGAAUAUUGGGAGGUAUAUAAGAUUCACGGGAGGUGGGAAGAGAAAACAUCUCCCAAAAGUGAUAGUCCUUGAUUCAUUUUGCUGAACAAUUAAUGUGGCCCAAUAUCGCAUAGGAUCCAUAUUUUGUCUUUAAUUUUGUUAUCUAUAGACUAUAGCACCCCCUCUCUCCCCUCCCUCCAAAACUCUCGUGCCCUCCUUGAAAUUCAAUAAAUAUUUUAAAUCAUAUCAAACAUUACAUAAAAAUGUUACGUUAAAUCUUAGACAAAAAAUUACAGAAAAAAUUCUACCUAUUGGGAUUGUCUCUGGUUUACCAUUAAAUCAAACAUUGUCCAUGUUUUGAAUUUGCCUAUUUUUAUUACCUCAUAAGUGUCAUUUUAAUAGCUGUAAAAAAAUCAUUAGUUGCAUUGAUUUUUAAAGUAAUAUAAUAUGUGAAGACUAAAAUACUCAUAUUAAUCAAAAUAAUCAAGUAGUUAGGUAUUGUAAGAAAAAGUUAAUAUAUGAUGUCUUCGCAUUUUAAAGAGAUAAAUAAUUCGAGAUAAUAAUUAUUCCAAAAAGCUAAUAUCUAAUUCAUGAGAAGAAAAAAUUGUAAGAACAGUUGAAUGUAAGAGUAUAAUAAUAAAAAUAAAAUAAAAAAAAGUGAUUACUAUAAUUUUUUUGAAAAUAACUUUUUCGUGAAAAGAUCAACAAUUAACAAAGAUAAGUAAGAAUGUAUAAUUGAAAUAAAAUCAUUAAUAUCAUACUAAAAAGAUAAAAUAAAACAACAGUACUUAUUUAGAAGCUUUUUUUUUUUUAAACAUAGAAGCUUUAUUAUAUGCAAAGAGAGCACGAUUAGUUUUUUGUUACUACAUACUACAAUUGGUAGGAUAUUUUUUUAAAUAGAGGGAAAUGACAGAAUAAACUCCCACGUAUAAGUGUUAAAGAUAUAGUUAGUUAGUAAUUAGGAGAAUUAGUUAGGAAUUUGUUUUUUUUUUUUUAACGUUAGUUAGUAAUUUGUUGAUGCAUAUAUAUAUAUUGAUGUAAUAUUUUACACUCAAUUUUCUUGUUAGUAAUAUUUUUUCUUCAUCAAUAUUAUACACUUUUGAGCUAUAUUCUCUUCUUCUCCCAUGAUGCCAUAUGUUUCUUAACAAUAAGUGAGGGAGCUGGGGUUCGAAUAUCAGUCAUGAUAUCCGGCCUAACAAUUUCGACAUCGUUGAAUUAGAAUUUGCGGAGUAUGAUUUGUAGGAAUUUAUCACGAGGGCGAUCAAUUUGACAUUAUGCAACAAAACGAUUGCAAAUAAUAUUUGACUAUGAUUGAGUCUUCUUAAUUAUUACAUAGUUAUGAUCCAUCCUGCAUUUGCAGUGUUGCAGUUCCAAAGGUAGUCUUCAUGCUUAUCUUCUCUCCCCUUUCAAGAGGCAUGAACAAUGCUAGUGAGUGUUUACCAAUUUUAAUAACAUCAUAAAAAUUAUUCAUGAAGAGUAGGGAAAAUUAAACAUGAAAACUACCUUUGAAAACUGGCCUUUUGACAAACAAUAUACAAGUUGACUUGAAAAUUGAAAUUAUUUAAUUAUGAAUCAUGCUGAUUAAUUUUUCAGGCACUAGUUAAAAAACUAAAAAAAAUGAUAAACUUUACGUUGAAAAUAAACAUCUUUUAUAUUUGAUUAGCUUUUGGUAAUUUGGAGUAUUUAUCUAUUAAUCAAUGACAACAAACUAUAUGCAUGUGAAAUAAAAGUUGGUUAUAAGUUUUUUGAAUAAGCUAAAUUAGUUCACUCAAAUUGGCACUAGAGAGAAUCGAAUCUGAGACCUUAAGGAGGACCACACUCACAUGUCUCAAAUUGGUUAUAAGUUAGUUGUGGGUACCACGUACAAUUUAACUUAACUUAUGUGGCUUAUACAAUUUUACUUAUGUGGCUUGCUCUCAAUAUUGGUUGUUGGGAAAUACCCCCAAAUUAUUAAGAGGUGAAGUAGGCCUCACCUUUAUAUUUUAAAAAUAUUCACUAUAAAUAUUCCAAGAUGAUUAUACUAGUAUUUAGUUUCCUUAACUAGUGUUACGGUGACACUAAUUAGCAUUUCUUUAGUCUAUAUGCAUACAUCUGGUGUGCCAUCAACAUUUUUACUCCAAUAAUUUGGUAAAAAAAGUAAUUCCUCUGACUACAAUUAUAAAUAAAACUUCACUUUUUAGAUUCAUUAAAUAACUGAUGUAUCUGGUUAUUAUAAAAUAAAAUAUAUCAGUUAAAAAAAUCUAAAAAUAUGUAUUAGGGAACUAAAAAAUAUUUGGCUGAAAUGAUAAAAGAUCAUUCUAGUAUAACAAAAAGUUUAUUGUUUAAAUUCAGUUGUGAAAAUGUAACAGUAUUAAAUCAGUUGGUAAAAAAAUGUAUAUUUGGUAAAUCAGUUGCGAAAAUGCAGCAGUAUUAAAUCUCUUUUUUUUUUAAUAAUAAAAAUGGACUAUGCUCAAAAAGAAGAAGAUUACAAAGGAACUAAACGAAGGGUCGCGAUCUCCAAAACAUCCGCUAAAUAAACAUGACUAAUGUCACUAAAGUGCACAUCAAAGAAAACACAUUCGUCCACCAUGCUACACCAAAUAUUGGCUAAAACAUCUGCACAUUGGUUUGUUUCACAAUACGAGUGAUCAGUGAUGAACCACAAUCUCUCAAUCCAACUCAAUUAGCGACAAAUCUUUUCAACAAGAGACAUCUCACUUAUACUUCCACCUCCAUUUGAAGUAGUGACCUUCACCACCACAAUGGAAAACAUGUAGCUCCACACGAUCAAAAUUCAAACCCUUCAAGUACUCCCCGCCCACUAAAAAAGUCACCUAGCCCAAUGAAUUCACUUCCUCUAAGAUACCACCACAAUAGCUGCACUGAUGUCACAUAACCAAUGGAACACUUGGCUAGACAAAAUGAUUAUCAUGUUUCUUAUUAUUUUUAUUUUAUUUAAUCAAGUAGCCUAGUGGCUAGAAAAUCCACAGUGUUCCUGAUUCGAACUCGGACUUCUGCACAUAAAAUGUGAUGUCCCUACCAAUUGAGCUAAGCUCACUGAGACUUCUCAUUAUUCCUUUAUUUCCAAUCAAAAUGACAAUCGGAUUAAUCUCCAUACUUAUGGACAAAUAAUAUGAUGUUAAGAAAAAAAAUGUAUAUUUGGGGUUGCUUUAGGUUUUGUACAAAAUUCAUAGUCAAACUCAAACCAUUACGCCACUAAUUACUUAACCCAACUAAUCCUUGAUGACACACUAAUCGCAUGCUACCAAUUUUUUUCCCACAAGAAUGUGUACUGCUAAGAACAAUCUUAGACCAUCUCCAAUAAUAGUAUCUAUUAGGUACUUAUAUAUAUAGUGUUAUUAGGUAUUAUCAUUGUAGCAAUACUCAUUGAGUGUUGGGUUGGAGGGAUUACUUAUUAGGUACUUUAUAGUGAUAUAUACACGUGAGAUUCAGUUAAGUACUCAAACUUGAAGAGUUCCAUCGUGAAUGUUAAAUUAUGUUUUGGCCAACUAUAUAUUGCCAAAAGGACCAAAACAAACAAUGCCCUUUUCUUAAUACAAAUUCAAACAUUUUUUAGAGUUUACAAAUUAUGCAAGAGUCUCUAUAUUUUUUAAAAUUUUUGAAAGCAUGCUCUUUGGGAUCAAAUCAAAAGAAAUUGACUUUCAGAUUCAUCAAAAAUAAAAAAAUAGUUUGACUUGCUAUUAGUCAACUAAUAGUUUAUUUUCUCAUGCAUGUAUAUAUCAUUUUCAUUUAAAUCUGUUUUCCAAAGUCUCAGCACGCUCUCUCUUUUAGUGAUCUUUAAUAAAAGACCAUAAAGAGUUUUCUUUUACAGGAAUAAAAGAGUUGAAAACCGAUAAACAAAAUGUGCAUUAUUACUAUUAAAUUAAUUUAAGCUUUUGUGAUUUAACCAAAUAGUUAUGCAAUUAGUUCAUAAAUUGUUUGAUAGAAUUGGGUAUGGUGGAAAUAUUAAAGGAAGUGAGGGUGAAUGGUUAUAUGGUUUUGCUAAAUGUCUUGACUAUGGAAAUGCGUAUUUAGCAGAGUUAUGAAGGGGUUUUGAAGGGUUUUUUUUUUUUUGACAAAAAGGGUUUUGAAGGUUCAAUUUUACUUUUGUGGAGUUACAUGUGGAUUCAUUAGGGGAUGUGCAAGCCAUUACAACUAAUGGAGACAAAAGCGUUCAUGGGAGUCUCUUGUAGAGAGAAUUCGAAGAUUAAUAAAUUU